This 246-nucleotide ribosomal RNA is filed under the name uncultured bacterium. Its description in RNAcentral is "partial 16S ribosomal RNA". It matches the Rfam family "Bacterial small subunit ribosomal RNA", at positions 15 to 244 of the family's 1533-position model. The record is from RNAcentral.
GAUCCUGGCUCAGGAUGAACGCUGGCGGCGUGCUUAACACAUGCAAGUCGAACGGGAAACAUUUCAUUGAGGCUUCGGCGAAUUUGAUCUGUUUCUAGUGGCGGACGGGUGAGUAACGCGUGGGUAACCUGCCUUAUACUGGGGGAUAACAGCCAGAAAUGACUGCUAAUACCGCAUAAGCGCACAGAACCGCAUGGUUCGGUGUGAAAAACUCCGGUGGUAUAAGAUGGACCCGCGUUGGAUUAG